This 516-nucleotide ribosomal RNA is filed under the name Streptomyces sp. CNZ306. Its description in RNAcentral is "bacterial LSU rRNA". It matches the Rfam family "Bacterial large subunit ribosomal RNA", at positions 1 to 457 of the family's 2925-position model. Lineage: Bacteria; Bacillati; Actinomycetota; Actinomycetes; Kitasatosporales; Streptomycetaceae. The record is from RNAcentral.
UGUGGCCAAGUUUUUAAGGGCGCAUGGUGGAUGCCUUGGCACCAGGAACCGAUGAAGGACGUGGGAGGCCCGCGAUAGGCCCCCGGGGAGCUGUCAACCGAGCUGUGAUCCGGGGGUGUCCGAAUGGGGAAACCCGGCAGUCGUCAUGGGCUGUCACCCGCUGCUGAAUGUAUAGGCAGUGUGGAGGGAACGCGGGGAAGUGAAAACAUCUCAGUACCCGCAGGAAGAGAAAACAACAGUGAUUCCGGGAGUAGUGGCGAGCGAAACUGGAUGAUGGCUAAAACGUUUGUGUGUGAUACCCGGCAGGGGUUGCGCAGGCGGGGUUGUGGGAGUUUACGUGACUGGUCCUGCCGGCUGGUCGGCGAGUGAGAAACCGUACAUGUAGGCGAAGGGCAUGCGAAAGGCCCGGCGUAGAGGGUAAGACCCCCGUAGCUGAAAUGUGUGGCGGCUCGUUGUGAACACACCCCAAAGUAGCACGGGGCCCGAGAAAUCCCGUGUGAAUCUGGCGGGACCACC